AGGUUGGAGCACCCUGGGAACAGUGGAAGGUGUCCCUGCCUAAGGCAGGGGAGUUGAAAUUGGAUGAUGUUUUUAAGGUUCUUUGCAACCUAAACCAUUCUCUGGUUCUAUAACUUAGACUACAUUAUGUCUAAUCUAAAUGUUAACAAAUUUCCAAAAUUCCGUUUUAAUGUGAACUUCUGAUUUCUCUGUGGAAUGUGUUGGGCAAAUCCUGCCUUGGAUUGUGAGCUUUCCUGAGGCAUGGUUUGUAUCUCUGUACUGAGUGUAGAACCAUUCAAUAAAUACCAGUUUGUGAUUAAACUAAUCAGUCUUGUUUCUGAUUUCUAGCAUAAAAAUCCUGCCCCCGUGGAUGUAGCUGUUACAGCCAGCACAAUUAGGAGGCUCAUGGCACAUCACCCACCGAGCUGCUGUGAGCAGAAGGACUUUAUUUCCGUAUAGCCAGUGAACAGGAGAGCCCUGAAACUUGAAGCUGUCCUGGCUGUGCUGGAUCUUUGCUCUGUGCCCCAUCCCCCUGUGCACACCCUUACAGGGCAACUGGAAAUGAGUGGAAGAAAUGAGCAGUGGAGGUCACUUUGGUGAGCCUUUUUAUCAUGGCCUGUUGUGUUAACUGCACCAAGCUAACAGCUGAGAAGCUCUAGAGUGGGAUAAUCACAGUAAGUCACUUUAGUAUCUAAUCUCUUUGUAAACCGACACGCUGUGAGGGAGAAACUUUUCAUUUUUUAGAUCACUGUUCAAAGCAGCAGUUCUUGUGCUAUCUGUACUUUGUUAGUACCAAAGGUCUUGUAGAUGCAGCACGGGAGAUUUGCCUGGGGAAAUGCAUUUGAGGCUUAGCUUGAGCAAAUUAAAGGCUUCUUAAUUUAAAAACAAUUAAAAGCAUUAAGGCACUCUAAGCAUGACACUGGUCAUUGGUCACAUGGAGUUCUAAGUGAUGGCUGUAAGUAAAUUAGUUAAAAUAAUACCCUUAAACACUUGAAAAUGUAUUGGUGUAUUAGUUGCAGAAUAUACAGAAGUCUUGCCCAAAGUCUUCCAUACAUGUGGCACUUGAUAAGAAAAAGCAAAUUUAGGAAUGUCUGCAUCUUACAGGUCUCUUUAUAAGAACAGCAGAAUAAGUAACUAUUGAAUGUAUCACGUGGCUUCCUUCAGAUCCCAGAUAAAGUAAAAAGAUUUCUGUGACAAGUAAGAUGGUUUUAUUCUGUUCAGUAAUCACAUACUGCUCUUGGCAUACUGGAUUUUUUGUAGAUAAAAACUCAGAAUGCAUGUACGAUUGCAGCCAAAAUACUGUAGAAAUAUUAAAAAUAUUGGAUCUUACUUUAACACUGGGCUUCUUUCUAUUUAGUGACGGACAGUGCUACUCUGUCAGACUUUGCAGUUGUUCAGGAGACUUGUAGCUUUUCUUUCUGUUUCCAUUGUUCUUUUUUUAAAAGCUUUUUUUAAACAUUUCUAUUCUGUAGUUAAAUAAGCAAUGCUUUUGCAGAUCCUCUAUGUGGAACUGCAGUAUUUCUGUACAAAUUAAAGUUGCAUGCUUCCCACAAAGCUUUAUUAUCUAAAUGAUUGCAAACUGCUCAGAGGAGCAUGGUAAGAAGUUGUGAAGUGCAGGUAUAAAGAGAAAAUGCCAGUUAACGUGAAGCUGACAGCAAAAGCUUCAACCAGUAAUAGCUGGAUUAUAAAAAUGGAAGAUCAAACAUUUCCUGGUCAUGGAGAAAAUUGUGCUGCACUGUUAAACUAUCAGCAUUAAGUUCCUUCAUUUUUAUAAUCGUGUGUUAGAGAGGGCAAAAAACCAAACCAACUUAAAUGAAACCUGUUAAUGUUGAAUGCUUGCUUACGUUUUCCCCAGCUCUGGGACGUUCCUGUCCUCAGCUUCAAAAAAUGGACAUUGAAUUAUUCAAACAUAACUUCAUGCUGAUUUUAAUCAUUGCCUUGGGAGGGAUCCUACUGGAGAAGGCACAAAGCCUGGCAACCCUCAGGAAGCCUGAACUGAUGCAUUCUCUCCACUGAAGUUCAGUGCUGAUUUCUUAGAUCUGCUCCGGAGAUGUUUUGCAGCAGUGCAGUAUCUUCUGGACAUGAGUAAUGAUGAAAAUAUUUAUGAUGUAGAGCACUGUCAAAUACUUGUGUGAGAAAAAUCUCAGAAUUGGGAUUUCUAUCAGCACUGCACAAAUAAUACUCACUUUGUCAUUGCUUUUCCCAGUAACACCAGUAAAGUGAUCCAUGCUCAUCUGGCCAAGCUCUUGGCAGCAGCCUCAGUGAUCUCCAGGGAGGAGCAGCCCCAUUUUUCCUGAAUAAACCAUGUCCAGACUUGGCUGUGCUUUGUGGUGCAGAUCUGAGCUGCAGUCCCACGUGUUGCAGUGAGUGCAGGAAGCAGUGAUGCAUUCACGGAGGGUGCUGUUGGCAGCCCAGCACCACCAGAGCAGUUCCAGCUCUCAGCUGAGGGAGCUGCUGCUUCCCCCCAGCCUGUGAGCUGUGGCAUCUAUCAGGCAAUCUUUUAAUGCCAGACAGAAAAUGUUCCUUGUUUUCAGACUGAUUUGGUAAUCUUAUGUUUGGACAGAAAAAGAGUUUGUGUUGUAAGAGGUUAUUUUUAUUCUUUCUGGUAUGUAAUUCUAUGAUAGCUGACAUAUUUGUAUCAAAUGCUAAUGUUGGCUAAUUUAGGAGCUACAUGCUUCUUGUCAGGGUUUACUUAAGCAUGGAUUCUAAAGCCAGUUUCUGCAUGUUUUGGCACAUGGUGUUAUCUGAAUAUAGAUGUUUAAUUUCUAUUUGAUGUCUAAUAAAGGGAUGCAGGAUAUGGAAUUUGAUUACAAAUACA
Sturnus vulgaris (Common starling) is the source of this 2797-nucleotide non-coding RNA. Lineage: Eukaryota; Metazoa; Chordata; Aves; Passeriformes; Sturnidae. The record is from RefSeq and is a predicted model, not a curated record.